GAUACAUGCAAGUCGAGCGAACAGAUAAGGAGCUUGCUCCUUUGACGUUAGCGGCGGACGGGUGAGUAACACGUGGAUAACCUACCUAUAAGACUGGGAUAACUUCGGGAAACCGGAGCUAAUACCGGAUAAGAUUUUGAACCGCAUGGUUCAAUAGUGAAAGACGGCCUUGCUGUCACUUAUAGAUGGAUCCGCGCCGUAUUAGCUAGUUGGUAAGGUAACGGCUUACCAAGGCAACGAUACGUAGCCGACCUGAGAGGGUGAUCGGCCACACUGGAACUGAGACACGGUCCAGACUCCUACGGGAGGCAGCAGUAGGGAAUCUUCCGCAAUGGGCGAAAGCCUGACGGAGCAACGCCGCGUGAGUGAUGAAGGUCUUCGGAUCGUAAAACUCUGCUAUCAGGGAAGAACAAACGUGUAAGUAACUGUGCACGUCUUGACGGUACCUGAUCAGAAAGCCACGGCUAACUACGUGCCAGCAGCCGCGGUAAUACGUAGGUGGCAAGCGUUAUCCGGAAUUAUUGGGCGUAAAGCGCGCGUAGGCGGUUUUUUAAGUCUGAUGUGAAAGCCCACGGCUCAACCGUGGAGGGUCAUUGGAAACUGGAAAACUUGAGUGCAGAAGAGGAAAGUGGAAUUCCAUGUGUAGCGGUGAAAUGCGCAGAGAUAUGGAGGAACACCAGUGGCGAAGGCGACUUUCUGGUCUGUAACUGACGCUGAUGUGCGAAAGCGUGGGGAUCAAACAGGAUUAGAUACCCUGGUAGUCCACGCCGUAAACGAUGAGUGCUAAGUGUUAGGGGGUUUCCGCCCCUUAGUGCUGCAGCUAACGCAUUAAGCACUCCGCCUGGGGAGUACGA
This 854-nucleotide ribosomal RNA is filed under the name uncultured bacterium. RNAcentral describes it as "bacterial SSU rRNA". It matches the Rfam family "Bacterial small subunit ribosomal RNA", at positions 50 to 885 of the family's 1533-position model. The record is from RNAcentral.